GCCGGCGGCCGGGCGCGGCGCAGCGGUACCGCCGGCGGGCCCCGAGGGCUCCCCCUGGCAGCCCGAGCUCCUCGGCCAGCCGAAGGCCAGGGCGGCUGGGGAAUUACCCGGUCAGAGCCAGUGCUAUCCCCAAAAGCGGGCUCGUUCGCCCGGUGCGCAAAACGGCGAACCCCACACAGAGCGGAGGGAUUCCGCGCCGCUCGUGUUUGCCCCAGGAUGGGUGCGAGGGGGUGCCUCCGCAAAGCUAGCACCCCGCACCGAGAAGCUACAAGGUGUUUGUACAGUUAAAGGUGUCAACAACAGCUAAUAUUCACACCCCCAGCUAAGAACUGCUCCUGGGCACAGAGACCAGCAGCGCAAGCAUGAGAGAAACAGCCAGGUGGGACCGGGAGUCCCAGGGCAGAGCUCUGCAAUCCCAAGAAAUCCCUGGCAGAAACGCCAGUGCCUGGAGCCAGCAGGACCAACCUUGUCUUACAUCAGCAAUGCCACCGCUGCCCCUUGCAGCCCCAACUCCAGACCACUCCUCCCAUGUCACUCACAGCUCCAAGGCCACUGUGGGGCUGGAGUGGCUUUUCCUUGACAUGCAAGUGAAGCAGAGAUGGGCUCGGAUCUGAAACUUCUCUAGAGCAGGGAAGCCCCAAAGUCACAGCCCCUGCUCAGCCCACCACCAUUUCACCGAGCAAGCUGUUGGGGAAACACGAAGCCAAGUUACAAGACAAAGAAUAAAAGUCCCAGGGGAACGUCACCAGCAUAGUCUUCUCCACACAUGCAAAGGUCCCUUCUGCUUUUUUUUUCUCCCCUUUGAAAUUUCAAAUUCCAGUUUGUGGACAAAGUCCUGCCUAUCUGAGAAUAUAGAUCUCCGACCACUGACCAAACUCCACUCCAAGCAGUCCCGAGGGCUGCUCUUCCCCUUGCCCACGGAUGCCUCCGCUCAGUCCCCAGAUCUGCCAGGAUUGUGCCGAAACUUUUGCACUGGAGCAGAGCUCUCAUACGUGCACAAAGUGGAUUUUGCACGUUUCAACCUUAACGUCAGCAGCUCCCUUUCUCCACGCGGAACGUGAAGGACCAUUGGGAAUAACCAGGUAGGAGCCUUAUCACCUGCAAUUCAUUCGGGCAGCCAUUGCAGGUAGAAAAUGAGAAGAAGAAACAAGGGCUUCCAUUGUGCUUACACCAGCAGUUUUAGCUCAUCAUUUAAACUAGGGAAGGGGGAAAAAAGGCAGCUCUGGAGGGGAUGGAAAACGAGAGAGAACAUGAGCUCGUGGAGGCAGAGCCACUCCGUAUGGUUAACUGAUAACUCCAAUUUGCCUCUUCCCUCUCAUCUUUUCUGAUUCUCCCGAUUAAGGUCAACUUAUUCUCAUGCUAAUAAUUUCUUGGCCUGUUUAUUCAGCAUUAAAAAAUUAACAGAGAGCAGUUUACUGCAUGACUUGCUCACACAGAACUGCUACAGAUUAGCAGGCAGGUUUUAAGCCUCUGUGCAAGACUUUUGGGUCUAGCAGCCAGUCCGCACAGCUCGAGGAUGAACUUAUUUUCCUGUUUUUAAAGAACAGCUUUUUCUAAAGUCAAUAUAAAUCCCCCUCCCUUCAUGCCUUAAGUAUAUUUGCUCUGUGACUAUUUCCAAAUGGGAAAGAUAAAGCCAAGGGCUUGUGUUUUGUCAGACUUUUUGUAAACAGGGAUAUUUAGGCCACACUGUCAAACCCUUCUGCCUUCUGCCUCGGCAUGCCAUGACUCCAGAGCAGAGAUGUCAGUGUGUUAAUAAGCAUCUCCAAGGGAUUUCGCAGGGGCUGGGGGGCUACAGGUCAAUGCAGCUGAAACAAGCCCCCAGUUCAAAUGGCAGAUCUUUGCCUCCACUCUGGGCAAUCAUAUGAUGGACACACAGACAGGGAUCUGCUCCCGUGUCUGUCCCCAGAAUGUCCCCAGCAGCAGCAAGAACUCUCCAGGAAAACAGAUGAUUCAGCAGAAGUUGUUUAGGGUCUGUUUGCCCUGCCAGCUGCACACAGCAUGUCCCUGCCCUGGCAAAACACUUUGUGGAGGUGAACCAGAAAGAUCCACCACCUCCAUCCAGGGAGGUGGAUCAGAAAGAUCCAGCCCUGAGAGGCAGUAGAUGAUCACAGCCACGUGCCAGACCUGUGCCUGGGUGACAACGCAGGCAUUUUAUCAGCCUGUUCAACAACAAAUGGUGAUUUAUUUUCCCCAGCACUGAAGUGCCUGUCGCUGUGGCUGGGACAAAUGCUGUUUGGAGAUGAGGGUGAUGCCCAGGACAGGUGAUGCCUGAGCAGACCCCGGACACGCUGGUGAGCUUGUGACGUACAGUGGCACCCAGGGCUCCCCGGCACAGCUGAGGGUGACAGAGGCAGAUUCCCUGCAACCUCAGGCUAUUUCUCACCAGUGCCAAAGUUAUCAAGAAGUGGCCAAAGCACCCAGAACCAUCCAGGCCUCCUGGCCAUAAAAUCACUGUAUGGAGAAUGAAGGCAGGUUUUGGACAUGGGGAAGAGACACUUCAAACCAGGCAGCAGACUGUGCAUGAACUCCUCUCCAAAAGCAACAUGUGCAUUUCAGCCGAAGCUGGAUGGAUGUUGGAGCUGAAGGCAAUUAUUGGAGCUAAAAUAAAUAACUGCUAUGCAAAAAUGGUAGGGAAAGAACUACAAACACGGGGACAGACAGACCUUUUCAGCAUAUACUGCUCUAGCGAUAACACUGUGUGUGCGUUUCAUCCCAGGACCAGAAAUGAGUUUAUUAUCCUGCCUAACAAAGGCUCUGAACACUUGAGGAAGUAAUUAUUAUUACUCUUGGGACCUAUUGUUCUGCAAGGACAGUAAGUUUGAGCUGUUCUUAGAAAGCCAGCUGUGCUCGAAAAUGCCAAUGCAUUUGCUGGUGUGUAUUUGCAAUCACUCUGCCUUCCUUCAGCCCUCGAAAACAGCAUCUGUCCUCUGGGACUUGCAGGUUGGCACUUGUGACUCUGGAAAUCUGGCUGCUGUGUUUUUACGCAAAAUCACACAAUGAGCCCAAGACCAAACGAGGAAGAGGAACUGUUAGAUUCAUUUUCUUCCAUUACUCCACAGGCUGAAACUUGGCCCAAGCUACAGCUCCCACUGUUGAUCCUGCUUGCCCCAUCCAAACCCUACACUGCAAGCAUUGUACUUCAUCCAAACCCCAACCCAACAGAGACCCAGACACUUUCCAGCAAAACACUCCUGCCUAUUUGGGAGGAAAUCCAGAAGAACUCUGACUUUGCCAUGUGCUGUUCCAGACUCACUGUCUACACUGGCAAAUGCUCAGCUCAAAUCCAGUGGUUUAAGCCCUGUUUAAAUGGGAGAGUAGAAGCCAUGGGAAAGCAGCAGUGCUGGAGAAAGUCUCUGUUGCCUUCCAUGCCUCACCAGGAUGUUUAGUGUGGCAGGGACCUCAGCAACCCACAUCUGGACCUGGAGAGAACUUGUUUAGCAGGUGAAUGUGAUCUUUUUGGAACUGAAGCAAUCUUGCCGCUUCCCAGGAAAAAGAUCCCUACUAAGCUCACAGUCUGGCAGGCAAGCAAAUCACUCCCUUCACCCCUGCCAGCUGUUUGCUGGGCUUUUAUGUUUCAUCGACUUUAUACAUUUGUUAUACACAUACCGAACAGCCCCUGAAUCGUUCCAGCUGGUGGAGCAAUAGGUGGAGGAGGAGAACAGCCAAAAUCAACAAAGGUUACAAAGCAAGUUUUACCUUUUUUAAAAUUAAUUUUAUCUUUCUGUGAAGGUGGAUGCAUCAGCAUGCCAUGCCUGCUGGAAGUGACCUCCAGUUGCUGCUGUGGCUCUCAGCACCAGUCCUUGCUAGAAAUUAAGGCAAAAGGCUACAAAGCUGCUGGGGGUGUGGAGGGAGAGCUGCAGUGGGGCAAGGGCAGCAGAGGGACGGUCUGAGCCCAUGUCCCCAGAGGAAGGCAAGCCAAGGGCUCCGCAAGGGCAAAAAGUAUCUUCCUGAAUCAGGCAGUUGCGGGCUGCUGUAGCUGCCCUCCUUGUGCCCCGGGCUGGCAAAGUCAGCUCCAGCUGGGGAGCUGAACUUUAGGGGAGCAUCUCAGGAAAGGGCCACGUGUGUAUCUGGCGGGAGGCAGCAGGAGGAAGGGGGAAGGCUGCUGAGGGUGGGAGCAUUGGUCAGGUCUGAGCUGGAAAAGGUAGGCUGGGCAUGGAAAAGAAAAUUAAAAAUGGGUGGUAAGUUAAAAUUUGAGAGAUUCUGGUUUCUGGAGUCAGAAGGGAACAAGUUAGUGCAAAAUGGUUUUUCUCCGCAGGAGUGUGCAGGGUGCCUGAAUAGCCUGUCUUGUCCCCAGUGUCCUCAAUCAUCAGAGCACAGCAAGUGCCAGAGGAGUAAGUGGGAGUAAAACAGGCCUCAGGAGCUCCAAGUCCACAGCAGCUUUGCAUGCCAGCAGCCCAUGGCCACCACAGCGCUCUCCUAUGCAACACAACAUCCUGUCUACUGCCACAGAAACAAAAAAACACAGCAGAAAGCGAGGUAUGGGGACAUCGGAGCUUUCUACAUGCAAGGUUUGUUGCAUUGGGGACAGCAAGGUGGGGAGGCGAUCACACAUCUCCACAGUCCCAUAAACCCAUGGCCAGGACAGAGCAGUGCAACUGCCUGGCUCCUGGCUGACAAUCAACAUGGCAAACUGCUAAUUAGCCUUUGAGUAUUCGACCUAUGUCUCCAAGAGAGGAUAACACUAUUAUUUGUCCCUUUACACUCCUGCAAGGCCCAGUGCCAUUGGCCUCUUGUAUAAUAAAGAAAUUAAAAUAUAUCAUGAUCAUAAACUACAUCAUUUGAGGAAAUGAACCAUUUCUAGCAAACAUAUCAUGGGACGCCAAAGCCAUGAACUUUUCUAAAUCAAUCACCAGCUGAUAAAGAGCGCAGGUAUUUGCUGGGAGCAGGUCCCAACACGUGGCUCCCUGCACAGCACUGGUUUGGGGACCUCAUCCCGCGGUAUGGUGGCUCAGGGUGCAGGCUGCCUCAGGAGUCACAAACCCCACUGCCAGCACAAGCCCUGCUUGGGGGGAAUUGCUUAAGCAGGAGGAGCCCCAGGACUUUUGCUGUGCCCCAGGGGUUGCGCAGAGGCUGGUGGGGUCUUUUGUGGAUGAGGCUCUGCAAGGCACAGCAGUCCAGGGCUCGGGAUGCUCAAAACAUGUCCAAGUGCCUGCAAACCCCCCCACAGAACCCUGAGGCCAGCCAGCCUCCUCGCUGCCUCACCUUCAUGCCAGGGUCCCCAUGGGUGCUGGGGCUGAGGGGCUGAGCACAGAGGUGGGGGACCUGCACUGGAGGGAGCCGCAGAGGGGCACCCAGAAAACCUUUCUAGUGAGAGCUCUGUGCAACCGAUAAGGUUUGCAUUCAAAGUGUUUUUCUCUUAGUUGUUUUUAAGCUUACAUUAUGAGGGCUGAGUAAGCCCUGCUGCAGACCUCUUUGGCUAGGGAGCAGGCGGGAAAGAGGGCAGGGCCUGAGGUUGCGCUGCAAGCUGGCAGGAUAUGUCCCUGGCCCUACCGAGGCUGCAGCAUGGGGCAAUAAUUCCAGACACUGGGAACUGGGCUGAGAACGAACAAUUAAUUUCCCAAACAGUGCAAGCAGUCACUGGGGUGUCCAUGGGAUGCUAGCUCAGCUCCACCACCUCUUCCCCCAGGAGUCCCAGCACCUGCUCCACCAUGCCACCCACAUUGGGGUACCUCUCUCGAGAGCCCCAGAACUGAGCUUGGGAUCAUCAGCCAUCGCUACCCAUAAUCCUGGCACGUUCACUCUGCACAAAGCAAGAGAAACCAGAUACUUGGGGGUCCCCUCAGAUGGGGACCAGCAAUACAUAUGUGGGGGAUGAGCAUAUUUUGGCUGCUCCAAAAUCCCAGUGGAGCCACCGUGGUGGGGUUGCCAAUGCCCUUCAUUCACAAAACCUUUGCAGCACUGGCUACGCAGCUACUUCUCUCUCCAGUGCGAGUGCUGGGGGGGUGUGGGGGGUACCUGGUGUUUCCUGGAGCAGGUCGUGUCUGCUGCCAUUCAUCUUCCAGGGGUGCUCAGCUCUGCGGGCAGAGCUAGGGUAGUCUCGCCCUGGGACAGGGCUGUCCAGCCAGUGAGCCCCCCAUGGGCUGCCGGGCAUGAGCCAUGCCCGGGAGCUGGCUGUGGUGUGGCAGCAGGGACCAGCUAAUCCGUUAAUGCUGGUCACAAUGAGAUUUGAUGGGAACCAGGAGUUUGUGCUGCAGAGCCGCAGGUUUUAAAGGGUUCUGACCACUACUUGGAGGGGAAUUAUAAGGUGGCUCCAGGUUUGCACCCCACUGCUGAUGCCCGCAGCAAUGCCCACUGCUUUCUGGGCCACCUUUCUGAGGUGCCCUCACCCUGGCCUGUGACCUGCCGCUGCACUUCUGUGGGGCUGCACAUGCAGCUCUGGAAAACAUGCCUGGGUGUGUUUAACAGCAGGAGUGGGUCUGACUCCCUCCCUGGGAAGAGGCUGGCUGCUUACUCUUUAAAGUGUUUCUAUAUAAAUACCCAGAACACCAUAUCCUUGAGAAACAAAACCUUUGUCUCCCCUCCUAGCCACCAUCACGACAGGCGGGACCAGGACAAGCAAGGACGAAGCAGGGUAGCAGGCAGGGAGCUGCACACGUGGUGCUCCCCAUCUCUGGGCAGCCCUGAGCUUUGUGUCCUGCAGAGCCCAGAGAGCAUCUCCAAUGGUUCAAACCACUCCAGGAGCAUCAUGCUAGAGCUCUCCCAUGGCUCCAUGGGAGCUUGCCUGCUCUGUGCUGGUGGCCUCCUCUCCCCAUCCUCUCCCAUGGAGAACAGGACCUGGAAAAUUCUCAGGGCUGAGAUUUCUUAAUCAAUUGUUGCACAUCGGUGCUGUCGAUGCGGAAUCCAGGAGCCUCCACGUCCCAGGCAGCCUGAGAUUUCAGCUAGUACCUUGCACCACGGCCCGGACAAGGCAAGUCCAGCAGGAAGAAAAGGGAUUUUCUAACUGCCAGGCUACAAGAAACCCCUCUCUGCCACCACAGCACUGCACUCUCUGCUUUCUUUGCUGGUGGUGAAGCUGCUGUGACAGUCUUGUGUUGACUCAUUUGGCCUCAGUCUAGGAGAGAGUGUGGAGGCUGCUGAGCACUGAGAUAUUUCUCCUCUGCAGGGAAUAUGUGCUGGUAUGUGCGGCCCUGCUUAGCCCAGAGGAGGAAAAUUAGGUGAGGGAUUAGAGUGGCACUUCACUGGGUUUUCACAGGCACUGAGUAAUGAAUUGAAUGCUGAAAGGGAGAACUGGGCAUCUGUGCAAUGCAGCCCUGUGCUGCACAGCUCUGGCCCCGACCAGGGCUGGGAGUGAGUGUGGCCUUGCUCAGCCUCUGUGCCUGGAGGAACUGACUGUGAGGCCAAGCCCAUCUGAAACACCCAUUUUCCUGCACUUUCCUUCCUCCUUGGAUGGCUUUCCUCCUGCCAAGCCCGCCUUUACUUUUGCUGUGCCAAGGAGCAGAGAGCUUGUUCCUGCCCUCCAGAGAUAUCCAACCCCAAGCGCCGUCUCAAAGGCAUAAGUCUAAUGGAGGAAAACUUUUCCUAAACCAUUCCUGUCCUGUCUCCGUGAGCCUCUGUUCCCACCCAGGGCUGCCCGGGGUGCAUUUGAAUUAAUUUGGAGAGCAAACAGCUGCCAGCAGCUUCCAGAAGGCUCCUGAAGGGAUGGGGAAUGACCAGCAGGUCCAUACUUCAUCUAUAUGCCUGGGGAAGGGGUGCCCCGACAACAGAGGCACAUGCCCAGUAUGACAGCACGGAGCAGGGAGCAACAUCGAAGGCAGGGCCAGUUCUGAACUGUGUGUAACCCCGUGACAUCUCCCUUCACCCCUUUGUUUCCACACCGGUUUUAACGCCUGUAACAGGAAACACACCCAAGUCAACAGAGGUUUCUCCCAGACGGUGGCAGUCCCUGGGCACACACCCGUGGAUGAGCCAUGGGCAGCACCCAGCUCUGCUUCCGCCAGGGUGUUCACACAGUGGCAAAGCCACCACCUCCAUCCCGCCACCAUUUAGUCCUUGAAGGCAGCAGCCUGCAGGCAGGGGAGCAGCCAGGGCUGUGGGUCUGAAGGCCAGCUGUUUGUCCCCUUGCCCCUCCUGCCUCCUUAUUCCGCCCUUCAUUUCCUGCUGCUGCCUUUGCCCUGCCAACGCCAGGCUUUCUGCAUGGGCUGGUUCCCUUGGGUGCCCAUCGGUGCCCACCUCUCCCUGCCAGGGCACCUUGACCUGGCUGAGACUGCCCGUCCCUGGGGCAGGACCUGCGCCUGCUCACGAGCCACAGUGGCUGCAAGCGAGCGGCCACGCAGCUCGCUGGAUGGGGACCUGCAGCACGAGCAGGGCUUUUUCCUAUAGGGUGGUUGCUCGUUUGUGCUUUCCGCUGAGCCCCUCAGUGUUGCCCUGUCCAUUAACCUGACACCCCACCCAGCCUCACAGUCCACGGCCAAAUUUCCAUGGGUGAUGUUAGCACCAGUGAAUCCUCUUCCCGAGCUGGGCUGCUGCUUUUCACCGGGGGUGGUGGGGUGGACCCUGCCACCCCAAUGGAGGGGACAGUGUGGGAUGCAGGACUUGCCCGGUUGGCUGGAAGCUGGGGGCAGGCUGGCACACUGAAGAGGAGCAGCAGCAGCUUCUUAUCACAGGGUGCCAUGGCUUUGGGGACCAUGUGGCAAAAUGACAAGCCUCCCCUGGGAGCAGAGGGGGAGAGAAGUGGCUGAGCGGGGUGGGAAGAGCCAGGUUCUGCAGCCUCCGUGAAAGGCACUGGGCCAUAAACGCGGCACAGUGGCUGUCAUUUAUGUCGGCAAACACGUCGAGUAGGCUCGACUAUUGAUUCUGACCAUAUAAAAGAGUGUUGUGGCACUUGUUCAGGUUUGCGCAGGUUUUACAGCUCUUGUUCUGAGAAGUACCCAUGUAUUUGGUUUUGCUCCUUCCUUCAGGUCUAUCUGUUGACACUGCCUCUCCUAACCAGAGCGUUCGGCCGUGCCAGGAAGCUGAGUGUAUGGCUCUCCCUGCGUUUCCCAUUUUCCCAGGGGUUGUCUUCUAUAAAAUCUUGCACACACCCAUGACUGGGACAGGUUUCUGGUGCAGAGGCAAGUGAAAGGUGCCCACCGGUCCCAUGUUGGUGGGUUUGGGUACCCCACACUCGGUGGCAGGAGCUGAGCCACCCAUCCUGAUGGAUGAGUUUUAGGGUAGAUGGACAAAGCUGUGGGUAAGGUGCUGCCCUGGGCAGCCUGGGCAGGAUAAGCAAGGUGAGAAAUCUGUAGGGCUGUGAUGAAAAUCAGGGUGUCAAAGUAGCUUGGGUGUCCAGAGAGGGAAAAGGUGUCAGAGCUCCCAGAGCAUCACCACAGAGGAGAUGGCCCAAGCAUGAUGACCCACAGCACAAGGCCCAUAGUAUUCCUGUUCCCCACCUUCACUCUUCCCACCUGGAGGUGUCAGUAUUGGCCAUUGGUGCUGGGGGCUCUGAGGGCUUGAGCCCACAGUGAUCGCCCCCAUCCACCCCUCAGCACUGGGCUCUUGGUACCGCGGGGCUGCAGAUGGAGUCCCUCCAGUGGCUUUUGGGAUAAAAAGUCCAGUCCAGCUGUGCAGACCCGCAGCUUUUUAGAGCCAGGAUCCAUCCGCUCCACAGCUGCUGGUGCCUUUCCACAGCUGCUCGCUCUGCAAGGAGCUGCUCCUCUUGCAGCUUUGGUGCCUCAUCCAGAGCUCACCAUUAUUUUUUGAGGCAUGUAUUUCCUGAAGGGAUUUGCUGGGUAAUUUCUGUUGAUGCUCAAGCUGAAGCUUGGACAUGAGCUGUUCCUGGGAGUAAUUGCUUUUGGGACUCGGCUAAGCUCAGAGGCCCCAGUGGGAAUGUGGUGCCUCUGCCCAGCGCAGGCAAGCAGAGCCAUCAGCCCUGGGUUCAUGAUACAGCCACUACCUUGAAAUUUGCCUUCCAUGAAAAUUCUGCAACAUUUGCCGUUUCCACAAACAUUUCUGCCAGGAACCUUGUUUGCUUGAAUAUUUGAGGAAAGCAAACAAAGAAGGAGCCUGAACACAAAGAGUCAUGGACAGGUUUUUUGCAGUCUUUGCCCUGUUCUAACCCCAAGCCUGCCAGCAGAGACACUUGCAGGUGUCCCCCCUGCCCGAUGUACCCCUUGGCUCUGCCUUAUGCACCCCCACGUUCCCCGCUGCUGGCCCUGGUCCUGCUGCAAAUAUUGUUGUAUUUAAAAGAAAAUUGCCCAGACUUUGCGGUCUACAGAACCACCACUACUCAUCACCCCUUUGCACUCACUUUAAAUAAAAAUAACUUUUUAAUGGCAUUUAAGAAGUGUCAGCAGAAAACUAACUGAGCAUGUCCCUGUGAGGGGUGGCCUGCAGACCCACACCUGCGCUGCGGAGCUCAAAACAGCUCUCAGACACUCCUCAAACCCUCCCCAGCCUCAUGCCGCUUGCCUCCCAGAGCUGGAGCUCAUUACCUGCUGAUAGCAGCCCUCUGUGCUCACUCCCCCUUAUAAAAAUACCAUCAUGUUUUCGAGCAAAGCCAAAGACGAGGGUGUGCUGCUGGCCCGAUAAGCAGACGGGGUGAGGCGGCUGUCCCGGAGCAGUGGAAGUCGCAGCCCUACAGGCAAGUGUAGCCACCCCAUGACACUGAGCCACAUCCGUGCAGCCCCCCACGACGGGGGGGGGACUUCCCCCCCCCAUCCCGAGCUUUUUCCCAAGGACACCUCCACCAAGCACGAGCAAACAGCACUCAGGAUCAGGCCAAGGUGGCUAAAGCAGUGAUUGUCCCUUUUGCAUCCCAUCCAAAUAGCAGUGCUUAUCCCUGGAUGCAGCAAGACCUUGCUCAGCUGUUUCUUGCCCUGGUAAGUGCUGACCCUGCCAGCACCAGUGUCACGGCCUCUCCCAGCAUCCGGCGGGGACGGUGGGAGUGGGGACAAGGAAGGAGGUUAUGCCGGGUGUCCUAACACCCACCAGUUCCCGACAGCCUCUGGGCCAUGGACGCAGAAUAUAAGGUGUAAACAGAGGUAAUAAAUAGCAGGUGACAUGAGAAAUCAAGGCGAAAAAGCUUAGUUUGGGUCAUAUCUAGGGGAAAUCUAUAAAAAAUCCGGUCUAUUUGGCAAUGAAAAAUAAUUCUUUCACAGUGAAAAAUAAAAAUACUCAGAAAUUCUGCCUUUUCUUAUGUUCUUCAGCUGAAACUAUUCACCACACCUGACUAAAAUGCCCAAGCAGCUCUGACGUCUCGCAUUUUUCAGAGAAUUUCCAAAGCUGCUUUACUGAGCUGGCCCCAUCAUGCUCUGGACCCUGCUGUAACCACCAGCCCCAAGGAUCCCCAGCUCUGACAGCAGCUCCUGAAAUACGAAGGAGCAGUGUUCCCUGCCCUGGGUUUGAGGACAAUUGCCUGGAUUGCACCCAAGUCUCUUUGGGUGGAUAAAGGUGGAGCCAGGGACUCAUGACCAUCUCACUGCCUGGGAGAGGACCAUCCCUUCACCCCCUCUCCAUCCCCUACCCGCUCUCACACCCAUUUCAGCCUCCCCUGGCAUUAAACAGCAGUGUGCUUGGAGGAGACCAUUCCAGCUCUUGGCCCAUCCUCAGCAGGUGCUGGUGAGGAUGCUGACUGUGCCCCAAGCUCCGCAGCUCUCCGGUAGCUGCAGCAUCACUCCCUUCUCACCCAGGGACCCACGCAGGGUGCUGGGGACAGGACACCUUUGUCACCGCCUGGCAGGGUGUCCUCCAAGUCCUAUACACAAGGCACAAGACUGAUGGGAGGGAAAUAAGUGCCCCCAGGGAAUGGUUUAGGGGGAAAACUGGUGGCAGUUUGGGGCAGGGAUAGAUGGGGAGGGUUUGCAGUAACUGCAGCAGGGGGAUGCCCCCCUCUCUGCUUUUAUGGAUGCCACUGCUGCAAAGAGUGGGCUAGACCUUCUUGUCCUGAGGCCAAGUGCCGGUGCCCAGCUUUCCCUUUAGAAUAUAUCCCUGGCUUCAAAUGGGUGCUGAAAUACUGAAGCCUCUGAGCUGGAUAGGAAGACGGAAAAAUCAGAAAUACUGAAAAUGACCCCUCCAAGGCUGAAGGCUUGUCUGGUGGAACCUGAUGUGCAUCUGCCAGCUGAGCCCCGGCAAUGCCAGUGCAAUGCCAGCUGGAGUGGCCCGUCCUGCCAAGGGCCAGGAGCCAGCCGGCCAUGAGGGCAGCGAUGGCAAGCACGGCUGGGGGUCAGUGCUGCCACCGCUGUGUGGAGCACCCUCAUUGCUUUACAAGGGAAUAAACUUCCCUGUGACCCUGGGAAGGAUUCAGCCACCACUUUGCCGUCAGCCCCACAGCGCAUCCCAGCUGCUGUGCCCAACCUGCCGCCCAGCCCAGCCCAGCCCCAGCCCUGCGGUGCCGCAGGCUGCCUGGGAAGCCAGGCGCUGCCUGGUCCCCCAUCCUCGCCAGCGUUCCUCACCUCUAUUUGUAUAACUUUUUCACCUGUUUUAUUUAUGAGGAUUCCCCUCCUUCUGCCAAUAGUCUGAGUUUCCUCUUGCUUUGGUCUGGGAGGCCCAUCUCACUUUUUUAUUCUUAUUUUUCCCUCUCCCCCU
This is a non-coding RNA of Phalacrocorax carbo (great cormorant), 12501 nucleotides long. Lineage: Eukaryota; Metazoa; Chordata; Aves; Suliformes; Phalacrocoracidae. The record is from RefSeq and is a predicted model, not a curated record.